This 453-nucleotide ribosomal RNA is filed under the name Streptococcus pneumoniae. Its description in RNAcentral is "bacterial SSU rRNA". It matches the Rfam family "Bacterial small subunit ribosomal RNA", at positions 28 to 466 of the family's 1533-position model. The record is from RNAcentral. Lineage: Bacteria; Bacillati; Bacillota; Bacilli; Lactobacillales; Streptococcaceae.
GACGAACGCUGGCGGCGUGCCUAAUACAUGCAAGUAGAACGCUGAAGGAGGAGCUUGCUUCUCUGGAUGAGUUGCGAACGGGUGAGUAACGCGUAGGUAACCUGCCUGGUAGCGGGGGAUAACUAUUGGAAACGAUAGCUAAUACCGCAUAAGAGUGGAUGUUGCAUGACAUUUGCUUAAAAGGUGCACUUGCAUCACUACCAGAUGGACCUGCGUUGUAUUAGCUAGUUGGUGGGGUAACGGCUCACCAAGGCGACGAUACAUAGCCGACCUGAGAGGGUGAUCGGCCACACUGGGACUGAGACACGGCCCAGACUCCUACGGGAGGCAGCAGUAGGGAAUCUUCGGCAAUGGACGGAAGUCUGACUCGAGCAACGCCGCGUGAGUGAAGAAGGUUUUCGGAUCGUAAAGCUCUGUUGUAAGAGAAGAACGAGUGUGAGAGUGGAAAGUUCA